ACAGAAUUGCUAGACGCAAUAGGUGCGUUGUCUUUAGUCUUCCCCGUUCCCUCUGAGGGCUGGAAGGGGUUAAAUCUCUAGCUCCGGCGCCGUGGGAGAAGUUGUAGCUAUUUAAUAUGUUUCCACUGACUGUGGAAAACAAGCAUGUGGCCCAGUUGUUGCUCAGUACUGGUACCUGUCCAAGAUGUAUCUUCAGAUUCUGUGGUGUGGAUUUUCAUGCACCAUACAAACUUCCCUACAAGGAGUUGCUCAAUGAACUGCAAAAAUUUCUGGAAACUGAAAAAGAUGAAUUAAUUUCAGAAGUUCCAAACCCACCUCCCAAGAAAAUUCGACUACAAGAACUAGAAGAUGGGAUUGAUGGGAUGGAUAAUCUGAGUCAAAAUGGAGAGGGAAAGAUCUCGAUUAUUGAAGAUGGAAGCAUUGCUUCCAAGAACUCAAAUUUAAAUGUAUGCAAUGUAUGCCUAGGAAUUCUUCAAGACUUCUGUGAAAAAGAGUUCAUUAAAAAGGUGUGCCAAAAGGUUGAGGCCUCUGGGUUUGAAUUCACCAACUUGGUAUUGUCAAUCUCCUUCCCACCACAGCUAUCUGUAAGAGAGCAUGCUGCAUGGUUGCUGGUAAAACAGGAAAUGGGAAAGCAGAGUCUGUCGCUGGAAAGAAAUGAUACAGUUCAGCUAAAAGAAGCCUACAAAUGGAUAACUCACCCCCUGUUUUCAGAGGAACUGGGUGUUCCCAUUGAUGGAAAGAGCUUGUUUGAAGUGAGUGUGGUCUUUGCUCACCCAGAAACAGUUGAGGAUUGCCACUUCCUACGUGCGAUAUGCCCAGAUUGUUUCAAGCCAGCCAAAAACAAACAGUCAGUAUUCACUAGAAUGGCAGUUAUGAAAGCUUUGAAUAAGAUUAAAGAAGAGGAUUUCCGCAAGCAGUUUCCUUGUCCUCCAAACUCACCAAAGGCUGUAUGCAGUGUUGUUGAAAUUGAAUGUGCUCAUGGUGCUGUUUUUGUGGCUGGGAGAUAUAAUAAAUACUCCAGGAAUCUACCACAAACUCCUUGGAUAAUUGACGGAGAAAGGAAGCUGGACUCUUCAGUGGAAGAAUUAAUUUCAGACCAUCUUUUGACAGUGUUCAAAGCAGAGAGCUUUAAUUUUUCAUCCUCUGGGAGAGAAGAUGUAGAUGUGAGAACAUUAGGAAAUGGAAGGCCCUUUGCAAUUGAGCUGGUGAAUCCUCAUAGAGUACAUUUCACUUCACAAGAAAUUAAGGAACUUCAGCAGAAAAUUAAUAAUUCGUCUAACAAAAUCCAAGUCCGUGACUUGCAGCUUGUCACAAGAGAGGCAAUAGGUCAUAUGAAAGAAGGUGAAGAAGAAAAGACCAAGACCUAUAGUGCCUUAAUAUGGACAAAUAAAGCAAUACAGAGGAAGGACAUUGAAUUCCUAGAUGACAUAAAGGACUUAAAGAUUGACCAGAAAACACCUUUACGGGUCCUUCACCGGAGGCCCCUGGCUGUGAGAACUCGCAUCAUUCACUCCAUGGAGACACACUAUGUGGAUGAGCACCAUUUCCGCCUCUACCUGAAGACUCAGGCAGGAACCUACAUUAAAGAGUUUGUACAUGGAGACUUUGGAAGAACGAAGCCGAACAUUUGCUCUCUGAUGGAUGUGACUGCAGACAUUCUUGAGCUGGAUGUUGAGUCUGUAGAUGUCGAUUGGCCCCCUGCUCUGGAUGACUAGCUUUCAAUGGGAAACAAAGAGUAGGGUUUUCCAGCAAAAUGUGGACGUCCAUUCAGCAUACACUGUUUCUUUUUGGCUCAGCUUUGAAUUUAGUGGAUCUUCAAAUGGAAGAAUUAAGAAUCUCCUUAGCAAACUUAAAUUAGAAGACUUGUUUCUUAAAUUUCUAUUCCUGGGAUUAUACAAAAUUUCAAGAGUAAGCAUUAGCUGCAAAUACUUAUUCCAAAUAUCCAUAUGAGACAUAGAUUGUUAAAAAUUAAUGUAGGUCUUUAUUUAAGCAGAACAGAAGACAUUAAGUCAUGAGAGUACUACAUAGUUUAACUUUUGCCUAUAUAAAAAUAUUUUUAAAUUACUUUUGUGAUCUUCUAUAGCUUAUUUAAAAAAAAACCAAAAAACAAAAAACACUUAACAGAAAGGGCCCUUUGUACUUUUAGUAUCUCUUUGUCCCAAAUAUAGUCCGUGGUUUAGUUUAGGAAAAACACCGAGUACCUGGAAAAAUGGGGAAAAAAAUUUUUGGUAAAAUGAAAAAUUUCCCAAGUAAGGUAACUUAUUUCAUUUACAAGUUAUAUGAAAUCAAUUUAGAAGUUAAAUUUCUAUUUCCAAAGAGAAAAAGGCAUCUUACUUAGAUCUUUUGGGGCUUUAUUCUUUGAUUUUUAAGUCCAUAUGAGAAUGAACUUUGAUGUAAGCUUUCCUGAGAUGAUGUUUUUAAAUGCUGCCCUUUAUUAUUAUAGGGAAAAUAAAUUUUUCAAUUCAAUUUUUUCAUUUUGAAAUAAUUUCAGACUUGCAAGAAAAGUACAAAGAAUGUUUUUCCCAGAAAUGUAUCACCCUGAAUGCAUUAGUAAUUCCUACAAACAAGGACAAAUUCCGACAAACAAGGACAUUCUUCUACUUCCUCACAAUGUAACUAUCAAAAUCAGAUUAACACUAACAUUACUAUUAUGUAAUCCACAGGACCCCCCCCACCCCCACCCUGCUCAAAUUUCACCAGUUGUCAAAAAAUGUCCUUCAUAGCCAAGGGAUGAUACUUUGUAUUUAAUUAUGUCUCUUUAAUCUUCACCAAUCUGAAACAGUUUGUCUUUCCUUGACUUCCCUUACUUCAACAUUUUUUGAGGAUUUCAGGCCAGUUAUUUUGCAGACUGUUCCUCAUUUGGGCUUGCCUGAUGUUUCCUUAUAAUUAGGUUCAGUUUGUACCUUUCUAGCAAGAAUACCACAGAAGGGAGAUUAUCUUCUUGCAUCUUCUCAGAUGUCACAAUUUUGAUCACUGCAGUUACUGAUGACUCGGCUUUGAUCAGUUAACGAAGGUGGUGUGUGCCAAUCUCCUUCACUUUUAUAGUUACCCUUUUUCCCUUUAAUAAGUAUCUUGUAGGGAGACCUUCAAACUUUCAUUCACUAGUUUUAGCAUUUAUUGAAGAUUUUCACCUGAAUCUAUUACCACAAUGAUUAUCAAAUGAUCUUCUAAUUCCACCAUUCCUUUUGGCAUUACACUGAAAGGUAGAGCUUUCCCUUUUUGUGGAUUCAUGGCAUCCUAUUUUAUUUGAUGGUUUAUAAUCUGUUACUGACAUUUAUUUUGAUUUCUAAGUGUUGAUGUGGCCAGUGGGUGCCCCUUCAAGAUGGCUCCUUUGUCCUUGUGACAUGUCCCCAUCAUUCUUAGAGCAUGUUCUUACUUUCUAAUACAAAGACAUUCCAGGCUCAUCUUGUAUUUCAUCUGCACCAGCCCUGGAAUGGGCUAUUUCUCUAAGAAAAACUGGUUCCUUUUCAUGGAAAAUGAUAGAAAAAAGAUCUGGGCACUAGGUGUGCUCACUGCUGUUGUGGCAUUGCUGCUACCAAGCCCUCUCAUGGCAUGCAUGCAUGCGCACACCCCUAUAUACUUAUCUACAUAUAUUGAAAAUUAUGAGUUUAUACCAGUACUUCCGAUUCCAACCUUCUUCUAGUUUUCCCCCUUUCCGCAUUUGUAAGUCCUUUCUGACAGUGAGAAGUCUGGGUCCAUUAGCCUUAACAUUUUCCUUAAUAGAUCAUUCCCCCUCAUAAGUAACCAAUCUCCUGUUGCUGCAUCCUUAUUUCAGAUCACUGAGACUCCCCUCCCUACUACCCUCAAAUGUUCCCAGGCUCCACACUGUAAUCCCACAAUGGGCCACCAUCUUUGCCCCCUGUGGCAAUAGGUAACUGUACCUUGCUCAGAAUAAGCAAAUGACUUUUGUCCUGAAUUGUUCAGGAAGGGAGAGAGACAGGCAGGAAAUAAGUCAGGAAGGCAGAAAAUGAAAAUCUCUUUAAAAGGCAUUUCAGUACUCUAAAAAAAUUAUUUUAUUUUAUUUAUUUGAUUUUUUGUGGUACGCGGGCCUCUCACUGUUGUGGCCUCUCCUGUUGCGGAGCACAGGCUCUGGAUGCGCAGGCUCAGCGGCCAUGGCUCACGGGCCCAGCCACUCCGCGGCAUGUGGGAUCUACCCGGACUGGGGCACGAACCCGCAUCCCCUGCAUCGGCAGGCGGACUCUCAACCACUGCGCCACCAGGGAAGCCCAAAAAUUAUCACUUUAAAGGACAGUUACAUAUGUAAGUAUAUUCAGAUACAGCAUUCCAUAAAAAUGUCUAAUGUUUCUAAGCAACCAAAACUGCCUUUCUCUUUAAGGAGGAUGCUAUAAAUACAAGAAAAUCUUGAUAAUUUUAAAGUCAAACAGCAACAAAUUUUUGUAAGGGUUUUAGAAUUUUUUCCAUUUAUUAUAUUAUCAAGAAAAAAAUCACUGUAUACAAGAUAUUACAAAAGUAAUAAAAUAUUCUGUACAAAAGACAUUUUGACAUUUAAAAAAUGAUUUCAACUUUUAAGUAUCACACUUAACAUUAAAUAAUUGAACACUGAGAACUUUUAAAAAUCAUUUUUUUCAGUGCUUCCAAAUUCAUUACGGUCAUUAAGAAGCAUAUACAAAUAGAACAGUUAAAAAAUAAAAAUAGCAGUGCCAUUCUUCAGGGAUCUGGAUUCAUCAUAGUCAACAGUAUUUUUAAGUACAUUCUUUUAAAAUGGAAGUCAUCUCCAAAAGUGUUCAUCUGGUCUGAACCAUGCAUUUAAGAAUGCCCAUUACCCAAAAACUUUGUGUUUUCCUUUCCAUCUCAUCUUAAAGCUAUCUGAACUGUGCACCAGCAACCAAUAUUUUUAGCUGAUUACCCAAUAAAAUCAAGUGUGUCACUAACGAAGUCUCCUGAGACUGAAUUCCACAAAUGGGGUCCCCAAACACUCCAACUUAUUUUUCACUACAUUUUAUGCAGAGCUGUAAUGUUCUGAUUAAGGUUUAAUUAGAAAAAUAAGCAAGAUGAAUGAUACCUUUAACAAAGUUUAUAUUUUACUUAUCUGCUGAUAUUCCUGAAA
Globicephala melas (long-finned pilot whale) is the source of this 5068-nucleotide RNA transcript. It is a transcript of the gene named pseudouridine synthase 10, with no coding region annotated. The record is from RefSeq and is a predicted model, not a curated record. Lineage: Eukaryota; Metazoa; Chordata; Mammalia; Artiodactyla; Delphinidae.